RNAcentral lists this ribosomal RNA (109 nucleotides) under Prolemur simus (greater bamboo lemur). The record is from RNAcentral. Lineage: Eukaryota; Metazoa; Chordata; Mammalia; Primates; Lemuridae.
GUCUAUGGCCAUACUACCCCGAAUAUGCCUGAUCUCAUCCGAUCUCGGAAGCUUAAGCAGGGUAGGGCCUUGUUAGUACUUGGAUGGGAGAAGCAAGGAAUCAUAAAAA